AGAACAUUAGCCCUUGCUAGCAGGAAGCAUGCUAACAUCUUAUUUGGCUAACUGCUCAAAACUUGUCACAAAAAUCUAGCUUUGCCUCUUUGUCCAAAUAUAUCAGGGCAUUGACCACAUAGGAGGAAUAUGAAGUACAUUCCUGUACCGUUAAUAUUUUGUGAUUUCUGCCUUAGAGGGACUUUCUGUGAUGUCUAACAAGGUUGGAAACUCUUGUAGAGUGAUCUUGGUCCACUCCUCCAUGUAAAACAUUGGUUUGAUCCUAUGCCAUCUGGCAGAUUUGGGUGAUGGAGUUUAUCAUCUUCCUCAUCUGAUAGUUUCUCUGCCCCGUGUCCUCCCCCAGCACCACUCUACACCCAGCUGACCCAUGGUCCACUAACAGACGAAAGCCAGGAGGGCAGGACCGGUCCACACAGAGAGUGUGCACUACUGCUGAGCAUGGACUUCCUGCCUUCUCUGGAAAAAAUGGAAAAUGUGUGUGCUUGUGCAUGUGUGUGGUAUUAUCAUGGACAUGGUUAUGUGUCCCAGUGUAAGACAGGCUAAAAUAGUUAAUGUGUGUGUAUGUGAGACAGUGCGUGGGGGCCACAGCUGUGGCCAUUUCUCUGGUGACCCUAUAGCCCUCUGUCCCCUAAGCUGGCUUUCGCCUUACAGCUGCUGCUCUGCACCUGAAGGAACAUGCACACACACACACAUGCUUAGGAUUCAUGAAUGCAUGUGUGUAUGUGUGUGUGUGUGUACACCAUUCCCAUGAUAACAUUCCUUAGCCUCCUUUAUUGAAUCAGAACUUCCACUGUCCAGAGACAAAAGCAAAUGUUGCAACAGUUUGUACCAAUUCAGCAAAUUGUGUCAAGAUGAGAAUUCUUAGUUCCC
Molecule: long non-coding RNA, 870 nt
Organism: Ictalurus punctatus (channel catfish)
Lineage: Eukaryota; Metazoa; Chordata; Actinopteri; Siluriformes; Ictaluridae
Source: Ensembl